GACGAACGCUGGCGGCGUGCUUAACACAUGCAAGUCGAACGGAAAGGCACUGCUAUUGUGGUGUGCUCGAGUGGCGAACGGGUGAGGAACACGUGAGUAACCUGACCUAGACUUUGGGAUAACUUCAGGAAACUGGGGCUAAUACCAGACCGGAGCCCCUGCUGCAUGGUGGGGGUGGGAAAGUUUCGGCGGUUGGGGAUGGACGCGCGGCUUAUCAACUUGUUGGUGGGGUAGUGGCUUGCCAAGGCUGUGACGGGUCCCCGGCCGGGGAGGGUGGCCGGCGACAAUAGGACUGCGAGACGGCCCAGACGGCUACAGGGGGCAGCAGUGGGGAAUAUUGCCCAAUGGGAGGAAGCCGGAUGCGGCAACGCCCCGGGUGGGAUGACGGCCUUCGGGUUGUAAACCGCUUUAGCCUGUUACGCAGCGUUAGUGACGGUAAUGGGUAAAGAAGCACCGGCUAACUACGUG
Molecule: ribosomal RNA, 468 nt
Filed under: uncultured bacterium
Lineage: Bacteria
Description: partial 16S ribosomal RNA
Rfam family: Bacterial small subunit ribosomal RNA
Source: RNAcentral